GAGGUUAUAGCUCAGUGGCAGAGUGUGUGCCUACCAUGCACAAGGUCCUGGGUUCAACCCCCAGGACCCCCA
This is a transfer RNA of Camelus ferus (Wild Bactrian camel), 72 nucleotides long. It matches the Rfam family "tRNA". From Rfam's summary of the family: Transfer RNA (tRNA) molecules are approximately 80 nucleotides in length. Their secondary structure includes four short double-helical elements and three loops (D, anti-codon, and T loops). Further hydrogen bonds mediate the characteristic L-shaped molecular structure. tRNAs have two regions of fundamental functional importance: the anti-codon, which is responsible for specific mRNA codon recognition, and the 3' end, to which the tRNAs corresponding amino acid is attached (by aminoacyl-tRNA synthetases). tRNAs cope with the degeneracy of the genetic code in two manners: having more than one tRNA (with a specific anti-codon) for a particular amino acid; and 'wobble' base-pairing, i.e. permitting non-standard base-pairing at the 3rd anti-codon position. The record is from Rfam. Lineage: Eukaryota; Metazoa; Chordata; Mammalia; Artiodactyla; Camelidae.